GAAACUUCAAUUACGGUUUACAUGUAUAAACGAAUUUUUUAUUUUGAUUUAAUUAUAUAUAUUUGAAGAAAUAAAUACAUAUAUUUAUUUUCAUAUGAAUUAAUACAAUUAUUUGUCUAUACGAUAUAUCAACUUUAAAUGGUGCUAAUCCGAUAAUAAUGUCAAUGAUUUGUGAAAAUUAAAUCAAAUCAAAAUUUUAUGUAUAAAAUUACACAAAAUCAAAGUUCAUAUAUAACAUUACAUAUUGAAUUAAAACUGAUGUAUAAUUAAGAUAUUUUAGAAUACUAAUCCAG
RNAcentral lists this long non-coding RNA (293 nucleotides) under Gossypium barbadense (sea-island cotton). Its description in RNAcentral is "long non-coding RNA (GBAR_LNC004847)". The record is from RNAcentral. Lineage: Eukaryota; Viridiplantae; Streptophyta; Magnoliopsida; Malvales; Malvaceae.